RNAcentral lists this ribosomal RNA (864 nucleotides) under uncultured archaeon. RNAcentral describes it as "bacterial SSU rRNA". It matches the Rfam family "Archaeal small subunit ribosomal RNA", at positions 1 to 872 of the family's 1478-position model. The record is from RNAcentral.
UUCYGKUUGAUCCUGCCAGACCUGACUGCUAUCGGAUUGAUACUAAGCCAUGCGAGUCAUUGUAGCAAUACAAGGCAGACGGCUCAGUAACGCGUAGUCAAUCUACCCUAUGGACGGGAAUAACCUCGGGAAACUGAGAAUAAUGCCCGAUAGAACAUUAUACCUGGAACGGUUUAUGUUUCAAAUGAUUUAUCGCCGUAGGAUAGGACUGCGGCCUAUCAGUUUGUUGGUGAGGUAAUGGCCCACCAAGACUAUUACAGGUACGGGCUCUGAGAGGAGUAGCCCGGAGAUGGGUACUGAGACACGGACCCAGGCCCUAUGGGGCGCAGCAGGCGAGAAAACUUUGCAAUGUGCGAAAGCACGACAAGGUUAAUCCGAGUGGUUUCUGCUAAAGAAACCUUUUGCUAGUCCUAGAAACACUAGUGAAUAAGGGGUGGGCAAGUUCUGGUGUCAGCCGCCGCGGUAAAACCAGCACCUCAAGUGGUCAGGAUGAUUAUUGGGCCUAAAGCAUCCGUAGCUCGUUUUGUAAGUUUUCGGUUAAAUCCAUACGCUUAACGUAUGGGCUGCCGGGAAUACUGCAUAACUAGGAAGUGGGAGAGGUAGACGGUACUCGGUAGGAAGGGGUAAAAUCCUUUGAUCUAUUGAUGACAACCUGUGGCGAAGGCGGUCUACCAGAACACGUUCGACGGUGAGGGAUGAAAGCUGGGGGAGCAAACCGGAUUAGAUACCCGGGUAGUCCCAGCUGUAAACUAUGCAAACUCAGUGAUGCAUUGGCUUGUGGCCAAUGCAGUGCUGCAGGGAAGCCGUUAAGUUUGCCGCCUGGGAAGUACGUACGCAAGUAUGAAACUUAAAGGAAUUGGCGGG